UACUGGGAUGGGUGUGGGGAAGUUCUGAACUCCUUGCCUCUCGCCUAUGUCAACUCCAGGAUGACACAUACACAAAGGUACCUUUUACAGGUGGCUUAACCUAAUCGGUGGUCAACCAACUAUGUGAUCAUGUACAAGUCCCUUCAUCUCUGUGACUCACGUUAAAGCAAGAUAGGACCCUUGCCCCGACUGAGUUGCUGUGGAAUAGCAGAGCAACUUCAUGAACAGCAGGUAUCUGCUUCAGUUCCAGCCUCCAUACUCCUGCCUUGGGUUCCUGCCCCAACUUCCUUCUUUGCCGGACUGUCAUGUGGAAGUCAAUAGAACAUUAACUAAAACCCUGCAAGAGCAAGAUAAAUGGGGCGGACCCACACUUGGUCAAACACAAUAGACUGAGAAGGUUAAAAGGCAUUUGAGAACAAUGAACCAUCAGCGCUGCCUCCUGUCUAUCUGGGAAGACGGCUGCCUGCGUCCCACUCCAUUUCAGCAAUGAGGUGUCACAGGAGGCUUAAACACAUAACCCCUGCAAAGAUGGAAAUGAGUGUUUCUCAGCGAAAGGGGAAGCGGAGGGGGUGAGGAGGUGGAGGAAAGAGCACCGCUAUGCUGCGCGUUGAUGGCCUUAUAUUUCCAAGCCCUGGGAAAGAAGAAUUGGAGCUGCAGAACUCAAUAUAGAGCAGCGAUCUGUGGUUGGGGGAAUGCCGCACAUCUGCCUUUUAUAGGUUUGCAAUGAAAAAUGUUUUUAAUUAAGGAGUGGAAUUGGGGCUUUUAGUCUUGCUACAUACUAUGUACCUGUCAAACCUGCUGGAUGGGAAUUUAGCUGUGACCUCUCACCCCCCACCUACGUUAACCCGAGGACUGCUAGAACUCAGAAGAACUCUGAGCACCUGAGAAGGCCUCUGUGCCCUACUCAGAGUCCCUCCUGGCACGGGUCACUGCAACAUGAUUGUCUCCUUGUGGAAGCGAAAGGUGGGCAGUACCAUUGUCAGUUACAAACUGACGCUGUAAGCCAGGGAGGCUUAGGGGCCAACGUAGCUAUAAUGACGAUAAAAACACAGAAAUGAUUUUUGUUUUAAGUUAAGAAGCACACCGGUACCAGAAGUGGUAAUGUUCUGUGCGCAGAACAAAACACCUAAGGAAUGAAUCCUCCUCAUCCCCCAACCCUGCGACUCCCGCUCUUACGGUGACAGCCAAGCCUUAGGUGCCACUAACAAGGGCUGGGCUGGUCUUUCUGGGAUUUCAUAGGAAGGAGCAGUAGCUACAUGCUUUCCAAAGCCUUAACAUUCUCUGCAUUUUUACACACCCUUUUCGCUGGCUUUAUUCUUUCUGUCUCUCCCCUGUAACAUCUCAUCUCAAUAGUUGAAGAACCAAUGACAGCAUAACACCUUCUAGAUCCAAGGGUUGACCUUUACCCUUUAACAGGCUCUGAAAACUUUUUAGUGUGACCUCUCUGAUACUUAAAGCAAAAUCUUGAGUUAGUCUAUCAAACACAAACCAUUCUUUCUCUUCUCUCCCUUUCUUUUCGCCUUCCUCUCUUCCUUUCCCCUCCUAUCCUUAAACAAGUACCUGACCGACACAUAGGUAAAAUAGCUCUACAUCCAGUUCAAAUGUCACCUCCAUGCUGAUGUAUCCCCCCCUCACUAGGCAGAAACAACCGUUCUUGUGCGCACUGCAUCAACACAGGGCCUGUGCUGUUGCAUCUUCUCUUCCUUGUUGUUACAUCAUUACAUCACGAUUUAGGGGCAUAAUCCCUGCCUUCCUUGAUCUGUCUGCAAGGCAGAAAAGCUCUGCUCUUCUUUGACUUCCAAGCACUUAGCACAAUUCCCGGCCUGCUGAAGAUGCCCCAGGAUUGUUGUUAGAAGAAACUGAGUUCAAAGCAGAAAAAGGAAAAGAAUCAGGAAAACCAUGGUAGGUUUUGGAAGGCUUGAUGGAGAAAAGUAUGAUCAUGGACUAAAGUCCAAUUCUUUUUUUUUUUUUUUUUUU
Psammomys obesus (fat sand rat) is the source of this 1977-nucleotide long non-coding RNA. RefSeq lists it as uncharacterized. Lineage: Eukaryota; Metazoa; Chordata; Mammalia; Rodentia; Muridae. The record is from RefSeq and is a predicted model, not a curated record. The transcript is spliced from 5 exons.